This 732-nucleotide long non-coding RNA is filed under the name Rattus norvegicus (Norway rat). Its description in RNAcentral is "long non-coding RNA NONRATT017206". The stretch from base 664 to 732 matches the Rfam family "tRNA". The record is from RNAcentral. Lineage: Eukaryota; Metazoa; Chordata; Mammalia; Rodentia; Muridae.
CUGGCCCUCAGUGUCAGCCAGGAAGAACAGGGUUCAGCGAGUAAAAAUGCAAAAUUGAGCAGAGGGAACAGCUGGUAUCAAGUUGCUUUUCUCACGACCCAUGAACAGAGCCCUGGGUGACAGUGACAGAGACAGUGGGAGCAGAGGCCCUGGUGACAUUCAGGCAGGUGUAGAGCAGGCACUUGGAGUCUCAUCAGCAGAAUCACCAGGCCUGUCAGCGAUGGUUGUCAUUGCGCCCACCUGGGAAGGAAGGGAGACCCUCACAAGCUGGGGCAGGACGGUGGCACCUCGCGUGCCUGCCAGGCUGAGGAAGAUGGAGGCUUCCCUCCACCCCGAGCAGCUGGGUUACAGGAGAGAACUAAGUAAGGCACGGUUAGGCCUGACCUCCCCAGUGUUUGGGCUCAGUUGACCUUUAUGAAAAGGCAUGGUUAAUUCAACAUUUUCUUCAUCUAAAUGUUUAAUUUGGAGUAGUUAUAUAUUAGAAGUUUCAGAAAUAGUUCCCAGUGGUCCUUUGUUUCCCCAGUUUCUGGCUGUGGGGAAAUAGUUCAUAACGGAUAUAAACACACCCCAGCAGCGUCCCACCCCGAGCACCGAGACCCGCCUACCAAGGCCCACCUCAUCUAGCCUCAGGUCUGUGCCGUGAGAAGUCAGUGCUCGGGGGUUGGGGAUUUGGCUCAGCGGUAGAGCACUUGCCUAGCAAGCACAAGGCCCUGGGUUCAGUCCCCAGCUCCG